RNAcentral lists this long non-coding RNA (799 nucleotides) under Gossypium barbadense (sea-island cotton). RNAcentral's name for it is "long non-coding RNA (GBAR_LNC020827)". Lineage: Eukaryota; Viridiplantae; Streptophyta; Magnoliopsida; Malvales; Malvaceae. The record is from RNAcentral.
UUAACCAUUAACCAUUAUCUUAUAGUUUGUUUCCCUUAAAAUGCUUGUCUUUGUAGGGAAGGUAAUUAUGACCUUCCUUUUAUAUAAUGUUGUAACCCAAUUUUUGACAAAGCUAAAAGCCCGAAAAUAAACAAAUAAAACCCAAAAUGUUAACAGUUCAUUUACAAACCAAAAAAACCAGACCCAAAAUAAAAUAAACCCAAAACUCAACUAUGCCAGCCCAAUACAACCCUAGCCCACAAACAAAUUGUUGCAGCAAAAAAAGAGAAACCCUAGGGCACCGUUGGCCGCCGCCUCUACCCCUGCGCACCGUUCCAUCUCCUCGCACGCCAUCGUCACGCCUCUGACACCUGCAGGGAGAAGUGAAUGCAAACAACAGAGGAUUACAAAGAACUAAAGAGCAAAAAAACAAAAAGAUGAAGAUAAAACGGGUGUAAUAUGGCUAUAAAAGCCAAAGGAUUCUCAUUGUAACUUUUUUUUUACGAACACAUAAAUAUUGAGAUCAAAAAAAAUCGAGAUUAAAGAAAAGGUUGAUUUGAACUUCUCUCUCUUCGUUUUUCUUUAUUUUUGUAUGUUUGUUUAUUUAUUGUUGCAAAUCGAUUUUAAAAAUACAUCAAAGAAUGUGAAAAGAAAAAGGUUACCCGAAUCAGCCCUUAGGCCUGCCGUCGAUGGUCCUUCGUCGUCGCCGGAUGUGGGUUUAGGGAGGGGUCAAGGUUUUUUUCGUUCCCUGUUCCAUGGCCUUGGAACUUUGGCAGAGAAGGGGAACCUCCCCUUUUGUUUUGUAGGUUCUUUGCAGAAA